CAGCUAGGCAGUGACUGAGGUUGCAUUUGAACUUGUCUUCCUGACUCAGGCCCACUUCACGCAGGCAAGCAGGCAGGUCUGUACCACAAAUUGUUCUUUUCAAUAUGGCCUGGCCUCCAGGAGAGAGCAUAACCCUGAAGUUUAGGUGGCUGAAACUUGGGAAAGCCUUGCUAAUUCCUUAUGUCAGCAGGGAUGAGCAGACUAUGAGGUUGACUUCCCCUUCCUGCCUGUGACUUACUAGGAUCUUGGGAACUCAAGUUGUAUUGACUAUUGAAUGACACUUCUGUAUCUGGGGUCCAUGGCUUGUGAGGUGUCCCAAGUGGUCCCCUGUUUCCAGAAUGGAUUCAUCUUCACUUCCACCUGGCAGAAUUCUGACCUUCCUUCAAAGCAGAGGUUUUGAAAAGUUGUCAUUGGGAUUAUAUAGACAGUCAUAGAACAUCAAAAUUCUCCCAUUUUCUGAGAAUAUGUUCAUUUUGAAAUAUUCAUUUUGGAUCCCACAAAAUUUCUACACUAGAAUCUACCCAAUCACCUGAUGAGAUUUAGUGGUGGAACUUAUUGACAAGGACAAAACCUCAAAACAUGCCCAGAUGUCUCCAUGCACUGGCAAUCAAACAAAUGGGAUUUUGAAAGUCUGAUGCAUCUAAGAUGGCACAGGUAUCAUUACUCUGAGGUAAAGAAUCCUGUCUAAUUGAACUCAGAGCUGGUAAGACUGGAGAUUCAGGAGGGACCUACUCAGGAGUUUACCCAAGAACGUGAAGACUUUUCCCAGCAGAAUGGGUGGAUGAGAACA
Non-coding RNA from Phascolarctos cinereus (koala), 790 nucleotides. Lineage: Eukaryota; Metazoa; Chordata; Mammalia; Diprotodontia; Phascolarctidae. The record is from RefSeq and is a predicted model, not a curated record.